RNAcentral lists this unclassified non-coding RNA (149 nucleotides) under uncultured fungus. RNAcentral's name for it is "sequence contains ITS1, 5.8S rRNA gene". Lineage: Eukaryota; Fungi. RNAcentral also lists the same sequence under 1 other name. The record is from RNAcentral.
CAGGAUUCGCAAGUCUCCCGUAAACCCCUGUGAACAUACCUAUACUCGUUGCCUCGGCGGGUGCUCCGGUGCGAACCGGAGCGCCAGCCCGCCGGCGGCUCGCUACUCUGUAUUUACUACUGCAUCUCCGAGCAAUAGCAAACGAAUCA